Oreochromis niloticus (Nile tilapia) is the source of this 5187-nucleotide long non-coding RNA. RefSeq lists it as uncharacterized. Lineage: Eukaryota; Metazoa; Chordata; Actinopteri; Cichliformes; Cichlidae. The record is from RefSeq and is a predicted model, not a curated record. The transcript is spliced from 2 exons.
UCUAAAACUAGAAAGUAAUGAGUUUCGUUUUGUUAAACGACUGGAAAUGGGGCAGAGCAGCCGGUCUUUCUUCCAAUAAAAUAAGGAAAUAUGCAUUUUUUUAUUUCUCACACUGUCUCUAAUGACAGUAACUGUAACAAUAACUUUUUGUGAAGUAACAAGCUUUAAUGAUUUUUUUGACAAUUACUCAACAAGGGCUGGAGUGAUGGUCGCGACUGCACUGCGAUCAGUGAUUUUCUCAUCACACAUCCUUGAGUGAAAUAGGUGCACUGACACUGAACUGAGUUACUUUUUUUCUGCUGACAAUUAUAAGGGGUCUAAAACAGUAAUUUGUCUGCUUUACUUUAUUGUUUUAAUAAACUGCAAAAAUCUAAUGGACUUGCAGUGAAUUUGACAGAUUUCCUCAGAACUCAGAGUAUUGGAUUUACUAGUAGCAAACAGAGCAUAUAUGUAAAUAAUUUCCCUAAACUUAGAAUAGUAGUUAUGAAGGUUCGUUGAUCCCCUUCUCACCUUCCAAACCUGUGGGAAAGCAAGGCCAUAAUAGUUGAGAAUACUUCUUUAAACCAGUCAUAAGAUGUGUAUCUUUCCUGGCAAUCCUUAGAUGACUCCUGCUAUUAUUGUUUAUCUGUCCCCAGAGCUUCUUUUGAAUUCAUUAUUCCUAUAAUGCCCAUUUGCCAUAUUUGUUAACAUGCCGGGUCACCUGUCUCACAGCUGCCUGUGUUGACUAGAUCUGCCUUUUCAUCAAUGAGAGCUACCUGCCAUAAUGACCCUCUAAUAAAGUGUUAUUAUCUAUCCACCCAGUCUAGUGUAGCAUGCACAAAGCCACUGGAGGAAUCCAGGCCCUGUCUAAUUCAUUUCUGCUGGGUAUAAAUGUCAGCGUCCUUUUGUGAGGAUUACAGACAUUCCCACAUUAGGGCCGGACUGAUUGUUCUAUAUGGAACGGUGGGAGUGGAAUAGAGCGUUUGAUUUCAGAUAAUGUAGUAUGAGACAAAUGUCACUGGACCGGAUAGGUUUUUUGUCUAAACCUGGCUGCAGACUUGAAUCUGAGACUAUGACAGUGUCAGGGAGAGCUUGAAGAGAUGAGAAUGGCAGUGGUGUGGAUUACACAGUCUGUUAUUACAAUUUGUCAGGUUUUAUGAUGUCAGUGAUGUCUGGAAUUUAUCUCUUCAGCCUUUUAUAUUCCACCUCAUUAUGACAUCCAAAGCCAUCUAAGGUACUAAUUUGUCACUUUGUAUGUCGUUAGCUGAGAACUGUGUUAAGAGGCACGGUGUAAUCCCAAAGUUGGAUCAGUUAUUUGUGGCGUUUUCCUUUUUUUCUGCCUUUAAAUCUGUCAUUUUGAACCCAAGUGCCAGUAUAUAAACUUGCAAAUUACCAAAGCGUAUGCCAAUAACGUUAUAAUUUACACAAACUUUAAAACUUCUUAAAGUGUACAGUAUAGUUUGUAUAGAUCAUUGCUUUACAGAACAUGUUUAAUAUCUUGUUCAGUAAUUGCUAUAUUGAUUGCUAAUGUCAUCGUGAUUUAGUAGAGAAGCAGUCAUGUGGCAGCUUCAACAAUUCAAGGGCCUCUUUGUCCAUUCAUCAGCACCCCUGAUUGGGCCCAUGUCAUGGUUAGCUGCAGGCCCACCAGAUAAAGAUCAGUGGAUGAUUGGGCACACACAUUCUUAACAUGGCUGACCCGUGACAUCUCAGGGGCAGGCAGGGAGCCUGUCAUUAUGUGUACAAUGCAGCGCUUUCUUCCCUCUUAUCUUUGCUGAUGACAUUGAGAGUUUUUGUAUUAACUCAUUAAUGAAAAGACUCAUCAUUAAAGGCAUCACGGGGCACGGUGCGGCGGUGGUGACACUGCAUUGCCACUGUCAGCAGGAAUGUGUCCGAGACUCUACACUAGCACGAUGACAGCAUGAGAACUUCUUGUGCUUUUGUUGUAGAUGUAAAGCUAUAAUAUCAAGUUUCCUUUGUUGCCUUCACCACAGCCCACACUUGCCCACACUACAUUUAAAUCAUGUAUUUAACAUGAUAUGUUACACCUCAGCGUCCCUUUCUGAUAAGGAACCUUAUAUAACGUGUUUAGAAAUUGUGGCUAAUUGUUUUCUCAAUGUUGUUUAAUAAUUCAUUUAAUAAUGUCUGCUGUAAGACAAUGAGAGCAGUGUUUGGGUUGGGGAAAAAAUGUUUGCUGGACACAGUGAGUUUAUAAACAGCUUUAACAGUUUUUAUGGCUGUAAGAAAUGUACGAAUGUGGCUAUAAUGAUAUAGUAUGAUUAGCAUCUUUAGACUUUUAUAGCUUCUCGGGGACCUCACCAAUAAUAGUAUUGUUUUAUAAAUUGUGUAAAUACUGGAAAACGUGAUUUUUCACAACCUUGCAAUGAUAAAUUUCCAAUAAUAUAACUUUAUAAGCAGUUUCUAAUUAAAUAAUUUCUUUAAUUACAGUAAAAAAUGUAUCAAGAUUUCCUUGUUAUAAAGUGGUAUCAAUGCUUUGUUUAACAUGUCCAAAUUUCCCCAUCCAAGCCAGUUUGAUCUUCACGAGCUAGUGGGAGGUUCUGGAUAAAGUGUGUGUCGCUAUCCACUGCAUGCACUAACUGCUGACUGCACCUUGGUGUGUGCGCUCAAAACCAUGCAUGUGUUCCUGUGUGCCAGACGUUAUGGCUGCACAGACCCGCUCUGCAGCCACCAUUGUUGUUUACAGCUCUGUUACGCCCGUCGAUUGAUCCGCAAACAGAUGUAUCUCUGACUGUGAUUCACCAAAGCUGAUUAAGUCACAAGUGUUUUGUGUGGGUUCACCAGCAUCUUGGUUUCAGAGCUGUGUUUUAUUUCUAUAAUUAUUUCCUGUACCUGUUGAAUAUUGAUGAAUUAAACAUAAGUCACAUUUCAGACUGUGAAAUACACCAAGGUCUUAAUACUAUGAAUCUGUAGUGGUUACUUGUUGCUUUUCGGUAUUGUAAUUUGUAAAAUUACAAAUUGUUGAAUAAGCUAUCUGUGGAUAUAUAAAGUAUAAAAAUGCACUUAUGCUGUUUGAAUACAAUCAAAAUAAUGAAACACAGGACUGUCUUAGCCUAAGGAUACAAAAUAAUCAAGGUUUCACAGUGGCAGUUAUCUAAAUGAUUCUCUCAUAAAUCAUUAUAAUUUAGGGGGGAUGCUGCUGAAGCAACGCUAUUGUCUGUGGUGCCGCUUAAUUUGAGGGUCUGAUAAUUAGGGUAGCCUAGUUACCAUGAUAUAACCAAAAGCCAUCUUGGUAUUAAAAAAAUACAAUGAAUUAAAUUAUCUUACUUGUUUAAAAAAUAUAUAACUGAGGGAUGUAAAAGACAAUGCUGUCAUGUGUCAGCAUCAGGUGUUUAAUUUUGUCACACUAAAACAUGCCAGAAAGCAACAAUAGUUACACCUCCUCUCCGUGUUCUUAUACUUUUACAUACAAAAGGACAGAUUACUCAUGGACAAUUACAAACAAAACAAAAAGACAUGAAUAGAAUUUGUGAUAUCUUCAGGCAUUUAGAGCAUUUAUGUACAAGUUUGUUUAACAUUACAGUUGUUUGCUCGUUUAUUUUCACAGUUCACAUUUAGAAGAUGCACUUUUACCUUUGGGCUAUAAUCCCGCUACAGCACAGCUUGAAGUACUACAUACUGAAUUCAUUUACUGUUUUGUGACUUCUAGUAGUAUGUUCGAGAGUUUGCAUUAAUAACAAAAUGCUAAUCCCAACCCUCAUUCAUUAGCGGAUAAGAAGUGUGGUAGCGAAAUAUAGUUGCUACACACUGAUCUGAAAACUUUGUAUAUCAAAUACACACUGUUCAAAAUAAUAAUUCAGAUCACAAAAAGACAUUAUCUUUUUUCAACUUCUGCGCAUUAUCACAACAUUUUUACAACUCCCCUCUCAAUUUAUUGUAAGAAAAACAAGUCUAAUAUUCAACUCUGUAACUGUUGCGGCUCACGUUCUAAAAUAAAGCUACAAGUAACUCCUGUAUGUCCUCACGUGAAGAUAACGUAACUGAGAUAAACAAUGCGUGAUUUUUGGUUUCAAAUGGCUUUCACUCUCGAAGUCAUGAAAUUUUCUUCUUCUUAUGUCGAGUCAUUACGGAUGUGGAGGUCUUUCCAGAUCCAAUUCACGUUCCAUCUUCCGUUUAUUCCCUGCCUCAUAGACCACUGAUUAAAUGUGGAUUAAAUGUGACUUAAAAAAUGGCAUUGCAAUAUUUGCUAUUAUAGAACAUGUUCUGAUAACAAAUGCUGAAAAAGUGUCUGUGGAGAUGUAGUUAAAAUUGUCGAUAUUCAUGGACUGCUGGUUUGGGUCAUAGUUACAGUAUCAAUGACUGCAGUGCUUUUACAAUGACAUACAUUUUGAUGACAGAACAUUUACUCUGGAUUGAUUUCUCAGUCUGCAUUUCUUGGGUUCAGAAUUGGUUCAAGUUAUAUUGCACAGCUACAGCUUAUGUGCGACUGUGUUAAACCCCCGUAAGUCACAUAAAUCUCAAAACUGACAAAUGCUUCUCAGUUUUGAAACUUACGGUAAAACUGCAGAAGCUGUAGUUGGAUAAUCAAGACGUUCCUUAAUUUGUACUUUACUCCUAAUCAUUAAAUUACAAGAGAUGCAUAUAGGAUAUUGUAAUUUUUUUACAAUAACGCCAAAGGAAUAUAAUUCAAAUAUAAAAUGAAUAGGACUUUAUUAUCUUAAUUUCAGUGAGCAUCGUUAGCACCUUAAAAGUGCCAAAAGACCAAGCAUCCUGCAAAAUUACUAGAGCAAGACACUGAUAGCUCAUAGAUUUAAGGCAAACAAUCACAGUAAAACUGGAAAACUUAAUUCUUAACAUGUAUGAUACAGUAGGUGCUAUAAAGAGAAAAGCAGUCAAAACACAGCUCAUAUCUUAAAACUUUAUUAGUGGCAAAUGUGGCAAAUUGUUAUUAUACAGAAUACUAUUUAAUUAGCUUCUUGACUAACAUAUAAAACAUUAAUGCUUAACUGGUUAUCUCAUAACUUUACGUGGUAGACCAUCACAUAAAAACUGUGUAUAGAUCUCACAAAUGCGAGAGCUCAUGCUACAAACAUUAAAGUUAUUAAGUAAGGAAGGAACAUAUACGAAAAUCACUAAACUGGAGAUACAAGGCUUUUAAAACAGAAGCAGUUUGAAAUAAGUGGUUAAUCAAAUAUCAUUUGAGAAUGUAAGCUGCUGUUAUAGCUAUAAAUGACUGUAAAUGACCUUCAAGAA